This 75-nucleotide transfer RNA is filed under the name Phormosoma bursarium. RNAcentral's name for it is "tRNA-Leu". It matches the Rfam family "tRNA". From Rfam's summary of the family: Transfer RNA (tRNA) molecules are approximately 80 nucleotides in length. Their secondary structure includes four short double-helical elements and three loops (D, anti-codon, and T loops). Lineage: Eukaryota; Metazoa; Echinodermata; Echinoidea; Echinothurioida; Phormosomatidae. The record is from RNAcentral.
AGCUAAAAUAGCAAAGUGGUUAAUGCAGAAGGCCUAAGACCUUCUUAUCAAAGGUUCAACUCCUUUUUUUAGCUA